CUUGCUUCUUUGCUGACGAGUGGCGGACGGGUGAGUAAUGUCUGGGAAACUGCCUGAUGGAGGGGGAUAACUACUGGAAACGGUAGCUAAUACCGCAUAACGUCGCAAGACCAAAGAGGGGGACCUUCGGGCCUCUUGCCAUCGGAUGUGCCCAGAUGGGAUUAGCUAGUAGGUGGGGUAACGGCUCACCUAGGCGACGAUCCCUAGCUGGUCUGAGAGGAUGACCAGCCACACUGGAACUGAGACACGGUCCAGACUCCUACGGGAGGCAGCAGUGGGGAAUAUUGCACAAUGGGCGCAAGCCUGAUGCAGCCAUGCCGCGUGUAUGAAGAAGGCCUUCGGGUUGUAAAGUACUUUCAGCGGGGAGGAAGGGAGUAAAGUUAAUACCUUUGCUCAUUGACGUUACCCGCAGAAGAAGCACCGGCUAACUCCGUGCCAGCAGCCGCGGUAAUACGGAGGGUGCAAGCGUUAAUCGGAAUUACUGGGCGUAAAGCGCACGCAGGCGGUUUGUUAAGUCAGAUGUGAAAUCCCCGGGCUCAACCUGGGAACUGCAUCUGAUACUGGCAAGCUUGAGUCUCGUAGAGGGGGGUAGAAUUCCAGGUGUAGCGGUGAAAUGCGUAGAGAUCUGGAGGAAUACCGGUGGCGAAGGCGGCCCCCUGGACGAAGACUGACGCUCAGGUGCGAAAGCGUGGGGAGCAACAGG
RNAcentral lists this ribosomal RNA (703 nucleotides) under Enterobacteriaceae bacterium HFB0017. Its description in RNAcentral is "bacterial SSU rRNA". It matches the Rfam family "Bacterial small subunit ribosomal RNA", at positions 75 to 775 of the family's 1533-position model. Lineage: Bacteria; Pseudomonadati; Pseudomonadota; Gammaproteobacteria; Enterobacterales; Enterobacteriaceae. The record is from RNAcentral.